RNAcentral lists this long non-coding RNA (318 nucleotides) under Brassica napus (rape). RNAcentral describes it as "long non-coding RNA (BNAP_LNC019813)". The record is from RNAcentral. Lineage: Eukaryota; Viridiplantae; Streptophyta; Magnoliopsida; Brassicales; Brassicaceae.
GAUGGCUGAUUUACAGAUUUCAGACUGAUUUAUGGGAUAACGGCUGACUUACGAACAAAAGUUAGGCCUCACUUAUACAUCGGCAGGCUGAUUUCUCAAAAAUUCGGCUGAGUUAUAGUUAAGACAUGACUGAGUUUUGUUUCGUCGGCUGAUUUAAUGAUCAUCGCCUAGCUGAGUUACUAAAUUUAGGGCUGAAUUAUGGGAGGUUGUUACGACUGAGUUAUAUUUAACCAGCCGUAACUGGCUGGAUUAACAGUAAACUCGGCUUAAUUACGACUGAUUUAUUAGCGAAAGAAUAAUUACUAGAAUAUCAUUCGU